RNAcentral lists this transfer RNA (69 nucleotides) under Rasbora bankanensis. Its description in RNAcentral is "tRNA-Glu". It matches the Rfam family "tRNA". Rfam says of the family: Transfer RNA (tRNA) molecules are approximately 80 nucleotides in length. Lineage: Eukaryota; Metazoa; Chordata; Actinopteri; Cypriniformes; Danionidae. The record is from RNAcentral.
GUUCUUGUAGUAAAAUUAUUACAAUGGUUCUUCAAGUCAUAGAUCUUGGUUAAAGUCCGAGCAGGAAUU